GAUGAACGCUGGCGGCGUGCCUAAUACAUGCAAGUCGAGCGAACAGACGAGGAGCUUGCUCCUCUGACGUUAGCGGCGGACGGGUGAGUAACACGUGGAUAACCUACCUAUAAGACUGGGAUAACUUCGGGAAACCGGAGCUAAUACCGGAUAAUAUAUUGAACCGCAUGGUUCAAUAGUGAAAGACGGUUUUGCUGUCACUUAUAGAUGGAUCCGCGCCGCAUUAGCUAGUUGGUAAGGUAACGGCUUACCAAGGCAACGAUGCGUAGCCGACCUGAGAGGGUGAUCGGCCACACUGGAACUGAGACACGGUCCAGACUCCGACGGGAGGCAGCAGUAGGGAAUGUUCCGCAAUGGGCGAAAGCCUGACGGAGCAAAGCCGCGUGAGUGAUGAAGGUCUUCGGAUCGUAAAACUCUGUUAUUAGGGAAGAACAAAUGUGUAAGUAACUAUGCACGUCUGGACGGUACCUAAUCAGAAAGCCACGGCUAACUACGUG
This 497-nucleotide ribosomal RNA is filed under the name uncultured bacterium. RNAcentral describes it as "partial 16S ribosomal RNA". It matches the Rfam family "Bacterial small subunit ribosomal RNA", at positions 28 to 507 of the family's 1533-position model. The record is from RNAcentral.